RNAcentral lists this unclassified non-coding RNA (997 nucleotides) under Leishmania donovani. RNAcentral's name for it is "gene:LdHU3.19.0860(CDS-product:hypothetical_prote in_conserved)". The record is from RNAcentral. Lineage: Eukaryota; Euglenozoa; Kinetoplastea; Trypanosomatida; Trypanosomatidae.
CACACCCGUGCACGCUGCGCGAGAUGGAGCUUGGUCAGACGCAGCGACCGCGCGCGCCGGUGGAACCGUUUCAGGAGUAUGAGCCGCGCCGUAAGUGUACCGUGUGUUGCGGCCUCCGCUGCGCCGCCUUCGUCGGCACGACCACCUUCUGCGUCUCCCUCGUCUGCAAUGCCGUUGUGCUUGGUGGUCGAGUGACGGACGGACGCGGUUGGCGCGGCUUCUUGAAUCGCAACGGACUCAUCGCCCUGCCUGCCGCCGCCAUCACCUUCACGCAUCAGGUACUCCUCUCUGAGUCGUUGUGGAGCAAAAACAAAAAAACAGUGACGCAGGUGAACACGCUGUCCGCGCUGUCGAACAUGUCGCUCUGGGCCAUAGGCACGGUGCUGUGCACGACCACGGCGCGCCGUUACCUGCCAGCGCGCAGCAGAGCCUAUCGUCUUGCCCUCUGGGAGUACCACCGGGCGCGCCGCGGCUGCGCGAACCCGUGGAUGCCGACGAUCUUCGGCCGUGUAACGGAGGACCUCGACUGGUAUAACGUGAUGUGGACGCUGACGCUGUACCACCUGCUGUGGGGCAUGGUGUCGGUCAUGCUGGAGAAGGAGCUCGGCUCGCACUAUGCCAUGUUCUACCGAAACUGGCAGUACAGCCGAUGGUGCUCGCCGCGAUGGAGGGAGUGGCGUGAGUUGGAGGUGCGUCGCCACGUGGACACGGAGCAAGCCGUCGCGCCGAACCGGUGGGGCACGUUUAUCACGAAUGAUAAGUGGCGCACGCGCCACUUUUGAGGCCAUGCACUCCCUUCUUGCGGACGCCAUGCGUGAGGAAGGUAAUUGUGUGAUCAUAGGCAGCAAGGAAGACGGGGUGCGCGCACGGUGGCUGUCGAUGCAGAGCAAGGGGUCAACAAACCCCCUGAUGCCCUCCUUCUUGCCGUCUUGCCCCCGCCCGAGCGUCCUGUGCUCGCAGUUUUGCGAGCCGCAUGCGUUUACUCACCUAUCCCUUC